UCGGAAAUGCAUGGAAGGGACCCCCAAA
RNAcentral lists this small RNA (28 nucleotides) under Bombyx mori (domestic silkworm). RNAcentral describes it as "piRNA piR-bmo-2235914". Lineage: Eukaryota; Metazoa; Arthropoda; Insecta; Lepidoptera; Bombycidae. The record is from RNAcentral.